GGGUAGAGGUGCAGAAAUUGCGUGUAACAGAGGGGAGCUUACCAAAAGCUUUGAUCCUUUGUGAAGAGCAUUUCUGCCGAGAGGCAGAGUGUGGUCAGCUUUGCUUCGGCUGCAUAUCAUAGUGGUAUGCGGCUGUCAUCAUAAGCACAUGAUGGAGAGCUAUCGA
This 166-nucleotide non-coding RNA is filed under the name bovine gut metagenome. Its description in RNAcentral is "Lysine riboswitch". It matches the Rfam family "Lysine riboswitch aptamer". From Rfam's summary of the family: Riboswitches are metabolite binding domains within certain messenger RNAs that serve as precision sensors for their corresponding targets. Allosteric rearrangement of mRNA structure is mediated by ligand binding, and this results in modulation of gene expression. The record is from RNAcentral.